Molecule: ribosomal RNA, 402 nt
Filed under: Sarocladium strictum
Lineage: Eukaryota; Fungi; Ascomycota; Sordariomycetes; Hypocreales; Sarocladiaceae
Description: partial small subunit ribosomal RNA
Rfam family: Eukaryotic small subunit ribosomal RNA
Source: RNAcentral
GCUUGUCUCAAAGAUUAAGCCAUGCACGUGUAAGUAUAAAAUAACCUAUACUAUUGAAACUGCGAAUGGCUCAUUAUAUCAGUUAUAGUUUACAUGAUAAUAAUUUUCUACUUGGAUACCCGUAGUAAUUCUAGAGCUAAUACAUGCAUAAAGUCCCGACUUCUGGAAGGGAUGUAUUUAUUAGAUACAAAACCAAUGCCCUUCGGGGCUCCUUGGUGAUUCAUGAUAACUAUACGAAUCGCACGGCCUUGCGCCGGCGAUGGUUCAUUCAAAUUUCUUCCCUAUCAACUUUCGAUGUUUGGGUAUUGGCCAAACAUGGUUGCAACGGGUAACGGAGGGUUAGGGCUCGACCCCGGAGAAGGAGCCUGAGAAACGGCUACUACAUCCAAGGAAGGCAGCAGG